Molecule: non-coding RNA, 126 nt
Filed under: Deltaproteobacteria bacterium
Lineage: Bacteria; Pseudomonadati; Myxococcota; Myxococcia
Description: MoCo sequence
Rfam family: Molybdenum/Tungsten riboswitch aptamer (Moco RNA motif)
Source: RNAcentral
AUUAGAUUUAGUCUCCGAGCUAUCUUCCUAAGUCUGGAAUUUUCGGGAUAAGGAGGAUGGCCGUCAGGGUGUGAUUGGAAACGAUCAUACCUCCCGCGUUUGGAAAGGAGAUGGGAAUGAACCAAA